GCCCUGGUGGCGAAAUCGGUAGACGCGCCGGAUUCAAAAUCCGGUUCCGCAAGGAGUGACGGUUCGAGUCCGUCCCGGGGCACCA
This 85-nucleotide transfer RNA is filed under the name Aquabacterium commune. RNAcentral's name for it is "tRNA-Leu". It matches the Rfam family "tRNA". Rfam says of the family: Transfer RNA (tRNA) molecules are approximately 80 nucleotides in length. Their secondary structure includes four short double-helical elements and three loops (D, anti-codon, and T loops). The record is from RNAcentral. Lineage: Bacteria; Pseudomonadati; Pseudomonadota; Betaproteobacteria; Burkholderiales; Sphaerotilaceae. RNAcentral also lists the same sequence under 2 other names.